GAUGAAGAACGUAGUGAAAUGCGAUAAGUAAUGUGAAUUGCAGAAUUCAGUGAAUCAUCGAAUCUUUGAACGCACAUUGCGCCCGUCAGUAUUCUGGCGGACAUGCCUGUUCGAGCGUCAUUACGCCCCUCAAGUCCCCUGUGGACUUGGUGUUGGGGAUCGGCGAGGCUGGUUUUCCAGCACAGCCGUCCCUUAAAUUAAUUGGCGGUCUCGCCGUGGCCCUCCUCUGCGCAGUAGUAAAACACUCGCAACAGGAGCCCGGCGCGGUCCACUGCCGUAAAACCCCCCAACUUUUUAUAGUUGACCUCGAAUCAGGUAGGACUACCCGCUGAACUUAAGCAUAUCAAUAAGCGGAGGA
This 358-nucleotide unclassified non-coding RNA is filed under the name soil metagenome. Its description in RNAcentral is "partial contains 5.8S ribosomal RNA, internal transcribed spacer 2, and large subunit ribosomal RNA". The stretch from base 1 to 120 matches the Rfam family "5.8S ribosomal RNA", at positions 35 to 154 of the family's 154-position model. The record is from RNAcentral.